UCUCAUCCUCAUUUUUGCUGAAGCAUUGGCAUUAUAUGGACUUAUCGUUGGCAUUAUCUUAUCCUCUCGAGCUGGUCAGUCUAGGGCGGAUUAAGCAGGGAUAUUAGGACCUAGUGUUAUUCUUUUAUGGCUUAGUGGUGUGACUGCAGCAGAAAGGAUUAAAUGAUUGUUCACUGAUUAUUGAUAGUGAGGAACCGCUUGCAAUGUUCUGAAAUUACGGAAGUGUCUGUGUUGCCAGGCACUUAGUGGUUUCUUUGUGCUGUUUGCAGAAGUAGGAUCGAGUCUCUCUUCAGAAUAAAAGCUGGUGAAGCUGUAGUAUGUUCGCUUUUU
RNAcentral lists this unclassified non-coding RNA (330 nucleotides) under Hevea brasiliensis (rubber tree). The record is from RNAcentral. Lineage: Eukaryota; Viridiplantae; Streptophyta; Magnoliopsida; Malpighiales; Euphorbiaceae.